GAUGAACGCUGGCGGCGUGCUUAACACAUGCAAGUCGAACGGAAAGGCUCCUGCUUGCUGGGGUACUCGAGUGGCGAACGGGUGAGUAACACGUGGGUGAUCUGCCCUGCACUUCGGGAUAAGCCUGGGAAACUGGGUCUAAUACCGGAUAGGACGAUGGUUUGGAUGCCAUUGUGGAAAGUUUUUUCGGUGUGGGAUGAGCUCGCGGCCUAUCAGCUUGUUGGUGGGGUAAUGGCCUACCAAGGCGUCGACGGGUAGCCGGCCUGAGAGGGUGUACGGCCACAUUGGGACUGAGAUACGGCCCAGACUCCUACGGGAGGCAGCAGUGGGGAAUAUUGCACAAUGGGCGCAAGCCUGAUGCAGCGACGCCGCGUGGGGGAUGACGGCCUUCGGGUUGUAAACUCCUUUCGCUAGGGACGAAGCGCAAGUGACGGUACCUGGAGAAGAAGCACCGGCUAACUACGUG
RNAcentral lists this ribosomal RNA (466 nucleotides) under uncultured bacterium. RNAcentral's name for it is "partial 16S ribosomal RNA". It matches the Rfam family "Bacterial small subunit ribosomal RNA", at positions 28 to 507 of the family's 1533-position model. The record is from RNAcentral.